Molecule: long non-coding RNA, 1486 nt
Filed under: Homo sapiens (human)
Lineage: Eukaryota; Metazoa; Chordata; Mammalia; Primates; Hominidae
Description: HSALNT0202132
Source: RNAcentral
GCGGUUUCUCCAUGUUGGUCAGGCUGGGCUCGAACUCCCGACCUCAGAUGAUCCGCCCGCCUCGGCCUCCCAAAGUGCUGGGAUUACAGGCGUGAGCCACCCCGUCCGGCCCUAGUGUUCGUUUUUUAAUUACACCACAAAGAAUUAUAAGGCAGAGAGAGCAUGACAGGCAAAGCAAAAAUCAAACUAAAACCUCUACUAUAGUGACCUGUAAAAAUUCCAGUUUGUAUUACUGUUUAUCACAGAAUUACCAGGAAAUCCUAGAAAUAAUUUCUUCAUAUAACCAAAUCAGUCAUACACAUUGUCUUCGAAACAAUGUUUUUCCAAGAUCGAUGAGGUCUUUUGAGUGUAUAUAGAUGUGAAAGAAACAAGUCCUUUACUACUAUUCUAACACCUGGUAUUACACGGUUUAACAUGGAAGCCAAGUUUCCCCAUGAUCUUAUUCUUCGUUUCUUCGGGGCUUUAUUCUAUGCAAUGGAGAGUAACUGAAAAUUAAGAGCAACCAGACUUCUUAGCUGAAAACCACAUUUGAUAUUUUCUGCCCACAUUUGCCUGUUACUCAAUAUUACACCCAUAUGAUCAUUACAAGACCUGAAUACACUCUGGACAUGGCAAAAGUAUAUCGGCCCCUUCGCAUGCCUGCAACAAUACUUUUAAAAACCUAAUAAAGUGAUUUGCAAAUACCCAGAAGUGGGAUCACCAGUGAGAUACGGGCUAAGUUCAGAAAGGUCCCUGAAACCACCUUUACAGAUGUAUAAGUAAUGCGAGAAAUCUAACAUGACUGACUCCAUCUUGCUUCUAACCUCACGGGCUAAGUUUUCACCGUGUUGUCGUUUUCUUAUUCUAGCACAGAGGCUAGGAUAACUGGGAGAGGGAUUUCGUGUAAACUUCAAGACAAGGGAAACUGACCCCACCCCUUCCUGGGAACCAACGAAGCCGCCCCGAGUUUCAGAAGCUCUUGUGAUUUCAUCCCCAGCCGGUCAACUGUUUCAGUUCCCCAGCCCCCCGAAGCCAAAAUGCCCUUUAAAACCCUCGCCCCCGAAUUCUCGGGGAGACAGGUCUGAGACCCUGUUCUGGUUUGGCCAGCCCUGCGCUUAUUAACUUCUUUUUUUGCUGCAACAGCGGUUCUCACUGGUUCUUUCCGGGCAGCGAGCGAGAAGAAUCCGUUGAGCCGGGGCCGGCGCCCGCGGGGCAACUGCACCGCGGGGGAGCCCAGUCGCCCCGCUCACCCGUGAGGGCCCUUUCUCCUGGAAAAGCCGCUCCGCCCUGCUGACCCCCACGGCACCGCGCGCCCAGACCCCAAGGCGGGUCUUGCUAUGUUGCCAAGACUGGUUUUGAGCUCCCGGGCUCAAGCGAUCCGCCCACCUCAGCCUCCUGAGUGGCUGGGACUACAGGAAAACCACCAUGCACACUGACGCCUUGAUUUUAACCCAGUGAGCUGUAUUUCUGAACUUCAGAACUGUAAGGUAAUAAAUUCGUGUCGUUU